UUCGCAUCGCAAAGCGGCGGUUUUUUGUUUCGCCGUUGCAGCAGCAACAGCAGCAGCAGCGUUAACUCGUGCAAAUGCAGCCAGGUCGCCCAAAACGAGAAAUAAGUUCACGUUCAUAGUAUCCACAGUAUCCACAGUAUCCAGUAUGUAAUAUACAUAAAACAUCAUAAUUAGCCAGUGGAAAUUCAGUGUGAAUGCAAAAGUGAAACCUUAAUGAACGCAUCACGAUCGCUCACGCCAUCUAUGUGUUAUGUUUAUGUGUAAAUCUUACAACAACAAC
RNAcentral lists this small RNA (280 nucleotides) under Drosophila erecta. RNAcentral describes it as "GG26744". The record is from RNAcentral. Lineage: Eukaryota; Metazoa; Arthropoda; Insecta; Diptera; Drosophilidae.